GCGCUGGUGGUGUAGAGGUUAAGAGCACGACCAUAUAUAGAGGCUAUAGUCCUCUAUUCUCUAGGCCGUCCCAGGUUUAAGUCCUGGACCCAGCGACCU
Non-coding RNA from Ataeniobius toweri, 99 nucleotides. The record is from the annotation of a GenBank genome assembly. NCBI's taxonomy places the organism in Eukaryota, Metazoa, Chordata, Actinopteri, Cyprinodontiformes, Goodeidae.